Long non-coding RNA from Girardinichthys multiradiatus, 782 nucleotides. RefSeq lists it as uncharacterized. The record is from RefSeq and is a predicted model, not a curated record. Lineage: Eukaryota; Metazoa; Chordata; Actinopteri; Cyprinodontiformes; Goodeidae. The transcript has 5 exons.
GUAGCCUUACCUGUCAUGUCAACACGCGUCUGAACCACCUGGGCCAUCGAAUAUCUGAUCUAAAGGAACCAGACAGGAGAAGGAAAUUCGUUGAACAGAUCCGGUCCGGUUCGACCGACACGGAGAUCCUAAACCCAAGAAAUGAACCGGACAGACAUCAGAAACUCUGAAGAACUUUUCUUAAGGUGGAUCUUUGAGACGCUUCCCUCCAAACAAGGAUGUCCAUGGAUAUCUUUUCUGGCUGUUUCAGGAUGGCCUCUAUUUAGUCAGACGGGCUCUGCAUGAGUUUGGACCUACCGAGCACAGGGCAGGAGGCGGGUUUGAAGGCCUCACACUUCAGACACUGUCCGUCCAGGAAGCGGCUAUAUGAGGAGCAGGGGUACCCGGUGAGGUGACAGGUCCGGUUCAGGGCGCACAGGAACAAAAACACAGAUCGCUGGUGGUCGCACACGAAGUAAGAUUUACCUGCAGGAGGAGGAGAUGAACCUGUGCUGAGCAGAGCCUCCCAGAUGGUGAGACCUUAUAAGGAGCUAAGGAUGUUGGACAGGGAUCAUGUCGAGGAGCUCUAUGGGAAGGGAGCAGACCAUGAUCCACAGAUGACAGUGACUGCAGGGAUCUGAAGUGAGAGCCACAGAAGACAGUCCCGAAGUCACCUCCUUUAAAGUAUGAGAUGUCUUCACUACCCCUUCAGCCACCAUCACCUGAAACACACAGAGAGCCUCAGCCUCUAAAGCCAUGCAGCGCUGCCGGAUAGAGAGGAGCUUCAGGUCUUUGAAUAUGGG